RNAcentral lists this ribosomal RNA (256 nucleotides) under uncultured bacterium. RNAcentral's name for it is "partial 16S ribosomal RNA". It matches the Rfam family "Bacterial small subunit ribosomal RNA", at positions 524 to 778 of the family's 1533-position model. The record is from RNAcentral.
UACGAAGGGGGGCUAGCGUUGCUCGGAAUGACUGGGCGUAAAGGGCGCGUAGGCGGAUGGUACAGUCAGAUGUGAAAUUCCUGGGCUUAACCUGGGGGCUGCAUUUGAUACGUGUUGUCUAGAGUGAGGAAGAGGGUCGUGGAAUUCCCAGUGUAGAGGUGAAAUUCGUAGAUAUUGGGAAGAACACCGGUGGCGAAGGCGAGUCCCUGGACAACUUCUGACGCUGAGGCACGAAAACUAGGGGAGCAAACCAGGG